Non-coding RNA from Hafnia alvei FB1, 157 nucleotides. It matches the Rfam family "sok antitoxin (CssrC)". Rfam says of the family: Also identified in Shigella as CssrC. The record is from Rfam. NCBI's taxonomy places the organism in Bacteria, Pseudomonadati, Pseudomonadota, Gammaproteobacteria, Enterobacterales, Hafniaceae.
GGGUGCUUGAGGCUUUUUGCCUUGAGCAUGAAAUAUGUGGUGAGGCAGAAAGUAAAAGCCCCAGGUCAACUUACAUUAACCUGAGGCAAUCCUAACCACAUCUGAACAAUGUGAGGAUAGCCUCUUCAAUGCAGCAAUGCAAUUGGAGGCUUUGAUG